This 305-nucleotide ribosomal RNA is filed under the name uncultured bacterium. RNAcentral describes it as "partial 16S ribosomal RNA". It matches the Rfam family "Bacterial small subunit ribosomal RNA", at positions 508 to 807 of the family's 1533-position model. The record is from RNAcentral.
ACAGCAGUCGCCGCGGUAAUACGUAGGUAGCAAGCGUUGUCCGGAAUUAUUGGGCGUAAAGGGCUCGCAGGCGGUUUCUUAAGUCUGAUGUGAAAGCCCCCGGCUCAACCGGGGAGGGUCAUUGGAAACUGGGAAACUUGAGUGCAGAAGAGGAGAGUGGAAUUCCACGUGUAGCGGUGAAAUGCGUAGAGAUGUGGAGGAACACCAGUGGCGAAGGCGACUCUCUGGUCUGUAACUGACGCUGAGGAGCGAAAGCGUGGGGAGCGAACAGGAUUAGAUACCCCUGUAGUCCCUGUCUCUUAUAC